GCCCUUAUCUCUUAAACUAAUCUUCACAUCUCUUCUCCUAAUUGAUCAUCAAUGCAACCCAAAAUUUGAAAACUCAUUUCUACAAUGCAGUAACACAGAUCCAUAGUUUAUGGUGUCAUGCCCAUCCCACAAAAUGAAUUGAGUGGAAGAGUAGGAAAAGGAUAGAAGUGCGGGAGAUCUGAAUGAUAGAGAUAGCAUUGGGAAAGGGGAAAUCGGCGGGGGGCAGCUUGGCAGUUUGGAAUUUGGGGUUAUUGUGA
This 257-nucleotide unclassified non-coding RNA is filed under the name Hevea brasiliensis (rubber tree). Lineage: Eukaryota; Viridiplantae; Streptophyta; Magnoliopsida; Malpighiales; Euphorbiaceae. The record is from RNAcentral.